Molecule: ribosomal RNA, 383 nt
Filed under: uncultured eukaryote
Lineage: Eukaryota
Description: partial 18S ribosomal RNA
Rfam family: Eukaryotic small subunit ribosomal RNA
Source: RNAcentral
CAAUAGCGUAUAUUAAAGUUGUUGCAGUUAAAAAGCUCGUAGUUGGAUUUCUGGUGGGAGCGAUCGGUCUGGCGCUUAGCGCGAGUACUUGCAUCGUCUCCGGCCAUCCUUGGGGAGUGUCUGUCUGGCAUUAGGUUGUCGGGCAGAGGAUCCUCAUCGUUUACUGUGAAAAAAUUAGAGUGUUCAAAGCAGGCUUAUGCCGUUGAAUAUAUUAGCAUGGAAUAAUAAGAUGGGACUUUGGUACUAUUUUGUUGGUUUGCGCACCAAAGUAAUGAUUAAUAGGGACAGUUGGGGGUAUUCGUAUUCCGUUGUCAGAGGUGAAAUUCUUGGAUUUACGGAAGACGAACUACUGCGAAAGCAUUUACCAAGGAUGUUUUCAUUAA